This 372-nucleotide ribosomal RNA is filed under the name uncultured organism. RNAcentral describes it as "bacterial SSU rRNA". It matches the Rfam family "Bacterial small subunit ribosomal RNA", at positions 526 to 896 of the family's 1533-position model. The record is from RNAcentral.
CGUAGGUGGCGAGCGUUGUCCGGAUUUACUGGGCGUAAAGAGCGCGCAGGCGGUCGUGCAAGUCGCGUGUGAAAGCCCCCGGCUCAACUGGGGAGGGUCACGCGAUACUGCUCGACUCGAAGGCAGGAGAGGGAAGUGGAAUUCCCGGUGUAGUGGUGAAAUGCGUAGAUAUCGGGAGGAACACCAGUGGCGAAGGCGACUUCCUGGCCUGUUCUUGACGCUGAGGCGCGAAAGCUAGGGUAGCAAACGGGAUUAGAUACCCCGGUAGUCCUAGCCGUAAACGAUGGACACUAGGUGUUGGUGGUAUCAACCCUGCCAGUGCCGAAGCUAACGCAUUAAGUGUCCCGCCUGGGGAGUACGGCCGCAAGGCUA